GCUGGGUGUGGUGGUGCGUGCCUGUAGUCCCAGCUACUUGGGAGACUGAGAUGUGAGAAUUGCUUGAGCCCGGGAGGUCCAGGCUGCAGUGAGCCAAGAUCGUGCCACUGCACUCCAGCCUGGGCAACAGAGUGAGACCCUGUCUCAA
Molecule: non-coding RNA, 148 nt
Filed under: Nomascus leucogenys (northern white-cheeked gibbon)
Lineage: Eukaryota; Metazoa; Chordata; Mammalia; Primates; Hylobatidae
Source: Rfam by way of RNAcentral